Non-coding RNA from Acanthosepion pharaonis, 114 nucleotides. Lineage: Eukaryota; Metazoa; Mollusca; Cephalopoda; Sepiida; Sepiidae. The record is from the annotation of a GenBank genome assembly.
UUACAGCCAUAUCAUGUUGAAACAGCAGUUCUCGUACGAUCAUUAAAGUUAACCAAUGUCAAGCCUGGUCAGUACCUAGAUGGGUGACCAUUUGGGAAUAUCAGUUGUUGUAAG